Molecule: long non-coding RNA, 21255 nt
Filed under: Linum usitatissimum (flax)
Lineage: Eukaryota; Viridiplantae; Streptophyta; Magnoliopsida; Malpighiales; Linaceae
Description: long non-coding RNA (LUSI_LNC003313)
Source: RNAcentral
CUCGCCGUCAUCGCAAUCCUCUACCACAUCGCCACGUCAUACUUCCACCUCCUCCCCAAACCUCUCUCCUACGUGGCCUGGCCGGCAUACUGGGCCGCCCAGGGAUCCCACUUCAUCGCCGUCUGGGUCCUGGCCCACGAGUGCGGCCACCACGCCUUCAGCGACUACCAGUGGCUAGACGACGUCGUCGGAUUCGUCCUCCACUCCGCUCUCCUCUCGCCGUACUUCUCGUGGAAACACAGCCACCGCCGCCACCACUCCAACUCGGCAUCUCUAGAACGCGACGAGCUGUACAUCCCGAAGAAGAAAUCGGAGAUUAGCUGGCAUUACAAGUACCUCGACAACCCGCCGGGUCAUCUUUUCUACUUGGUGUUCACUCUCACUCUCGGAUGGCCUCUCUACGUGAUGUUCAACGUCUCCGGCAGGGAAUACGACGACGGAUUCGCUAGCCAUCUGUAUCCUUUCUCCCCGAUCUACAACGAACGGGAGAGAUUCGGGAUACUUUUGUCGGACGCUGGGAUGCUUGCCACUUGGUUUGGUCUGUACAAGCUGUCCAUGGUCAACGGACUGAGUUGGGUUGUUUGUGUGUACGGGGUCCCGCUAUUGGUGAUGAAUGGAUUGCUUGUGACGAUCACUUACUUGCAUCACACCCAUCUUUCGCUCCCGCAUUAUGACUCGUCGGAGUGGGAGUGGAUGAGAGGUGCGCUAGCGACUGUGGAUAGAGACUACGGGUUCCCGCUGAAUAAGGUGAUGCAUCAUAUUACGGAUACUCACGUGGUGCACCAUUUGUUCUCGAUGAUUCCUCAUUACCAUGCGACGGAGGCUACAAAUGCGAUUAGGCCGAUUUUGGGUGAAUAUUAUCAAGUUGAUCCGACUCCGUUUGUCAAGGCGUUGUGGAGGGAGAUGACGCACUGUGUUUACGUUGAGGCCGAUGAGAAGAAACGAGGUGUGUUCUGGUAUAAAACCAAGCUAUGAAUGUGUUUUGUAUCUGGGCUGCUUUUCGAUUCUUCUUCGUACGAACUUGUGAUGUACGUGUCGUCCCAACCUGUCUGAAGAAGUUUUUUUUUUGUUUCUAUGUUUUAUGUUUUAUUUUAUCGUUUCUUAAUUAGUCGCUAUGUAGCCACAAAAGAUCGUAUGUACCACCGAUAUCGGAUUAUGAAAUGAUAAUAAUAAUUAAUGGGAUAUAUCCUUUGCUCCUUACUGUUUAUUAUUUGCAUAACAUUUUCAAGAACUAAAUCAUCAUACGCACAAACAAUUGGUAUAAAUAUAUAGUGUUUCCUAAAGUUUUAUGUCUUAAUUAUUUUUACAAAACCAAACCGAUCUAACCGAAAUUUCAAGAUUCUCGCAACCAACCCCUGAUCUCUUAAUUAUUUUUACCAGAACCAAAUCAAUUCCAAUUUUUUUUAUAAGUUCAAUUUUCAAUAUUUGUAGACUCAGGAACGUGAGAUCAUAUGUGCAAGCAGGUAGGGGUUGUCAUUUUCGUCUACUAUUAUUUAUCGAUCGGCCAAUUUAAAGGAUUCUUAAUUAAUUUCUGUUCGACAAUUAAUUAAAAUUUAUAACUCAAUGCUUAAUUAAGCGAUAGCAACUAUCAAGUACAUCAAUAAAUCAGUGACAAUAACAAUUUUUGUAUAACACAUGAGCUGGUAAUGUGGAUGGUGCUAUCCACACACAGGUAGCAAGAAAGAAGUAGUUAACCCAAUUAAUUAAUGUAUUUUGCAUCCUCAACCUCCUAACAACGCUUUCAAAACCAUAACCACAAAAACUAACAUUAGACUCGACAUGAAACUAAACGACAAUAAAAAAAACAAACAUAAGUGAAUAUACAAAUUAAUUCCGGCUUGAAUCUAAUUUGAAUUAAAAUAUGGAGGUUUAUAAUAAUUAAGAAAUACUUAUUAAAAGAAAUUAAGAGAUAGGAUUUCAUUUUGAGCCGGCACCCCAUCAGCUUCACAUGAGUUGUUUGGAAUUUGGGAUAACGCCGUUUUCAAAAUAUCCAGAAUAAUUCUGCGCCGUUAGAUUUCAGGGUUUUAGGACUUUGCAUCUUGAGCCGUCACCCCAUCAGAUCCAUGUUCUUUGGGAUUCUUAAUUAAUUUCAGUCUUAGAAUCUAAUUUGAAUUAAGAUAGUGAGGCUUAUAAUAAGUAAGAGAUAGGAUAUUUCAUUUUAAGCCGUCACCCCAUCAAGUCCAUGAGAGAGCUGUUUGGAAAUCGGGAUUGUACGGAUUUCAAAAUGUUCAAAAUGAUUUUGAACCGUUAGAUCUCAAGAUUUUUAUUAUUUUGAUUGAUGUCGGUGGAUUUGGCAUCUUUGAGCCGUCACCCCAUCAGAUCCAUGGUCUUUGGUCUUCCAGGCUUUCAGUAGAAUAAUUAACAGAAUACAUACACUUGCAUUUUACAAUACUAAAUUACUUUGUUUAUUUGUUACUCCUUCAGUAAAUUAGUUAAUAGAAUACAUCCCGAGGUAAGUAUAUGCUGAUGAUCAAAUUGUUUAUUCACCCAGUUAUAAGAUUGGGGGAAAUAAUAAUAAUAGGAAAAUACCUCCGAAAUGUCACCGAAAAAUCAUACAUGGUGUCUAUUUUAGAAUUAUUAGAAAGUUGGUGAUAUUUCGGAGGUUUUUACCUAAUCUAUAUGAUUUGGGAGCUAUAGUUUGAUUGAUUCAAAUUUGUCAUCCCCUCUUCGUUUAUUAGUGUACAUAACCUCACGAUAUUAUUAAUUAGAGUGACCAAUUUGUUAGAAGAACAUCGUCACUUUAAAAGCCUUCGGGUUUGAUGUUAUUAAACCAUUAAAAUCGUAAAAUUGUUCAAACAUUUAUUUUCACAUACUGAGAAAAUAUGCCAGAUUCUUUAACAGCGUUUUUAGAUACUAAAACUAAUCCUUGAACUGACCAUUUACUCAUAUUUAAAAUUUCGGCUCGGUUUUAGUACUGAUUAAAACCAAUUAGGUGGACAUGUGGAAUAUAUGGUGUCGAAUUGAUGAGCCAUGAACUAAUGAGUCCAAGUCUGGCGGCCAACCGGUUAGGCCAUGCAUGCUCAAGAUCCGAAAUGUUCGUAACCUUACAUCAUCAAAGGUUAAGAUUUUCCUGCAACCGAUCAAAUCUAAAUUACUCAAUAAAACAUGAUGACCCCGCCCAAAUCAAUCGAUGAUACAUGACGACCCCGUCCAAAUCUCAGGCUGUACAAGUAAAGGUAGCAUCUCUUGUUCAACAUAAGUCAUUGUUCAUUUACCCAUUAGCCUAUGGACUAUAUGCUUGCUAUAGCUAAACACCUUAGGUCCAUACGUGUACAUGCAUUAUUUUCCUUCGAGAUACUUCUUUGUCUCCCACUCUUAGAUAUAUAUGCGCCUUACCCCAUAAAUUAAAACUACAUUGAACAAACCGGUUAAUCAAGGAAAACUAAACUAUCAAUCGAUGAACUUGGAGGAAGACACUCUAGACACGUGUAUGCGUCAUUGUACCAGCGUUUUGUACAUAUAUACUUCUUUUGUUAUAUUGUACACACUUAUGUACGUGCCUUUGUAUACGUAUAUGUCUCGGUCUCGUAAUGUACACGAGUAAACACACUUGUACAUGAGUACAUUUGUAUCAAGGUGUUUUGACAACUCUUAAGAUCCAAUCCCUGUUCUUAUAUUCCAUUUUAAACACACCCUCUGUCCGGACCAGCGGCGAAGUUUGUCGGCGGCAGCCCCGUCUGAUUGUUUCGAAGGUUGAUGGGAAAAGAUAAAUUUUUUAUAGUUUUGUCCUAUGAAUCCAAACCGUUAAAUAAAAAUAAAACAAUUAGAUCUGACGGUUAAAAUGAUUUCGUCCAAGCUAUUAAUGUAUCUAUCUCCUUAGCUUGAUGCCACAUCAAAAGAAACCCCUUCCCAAAACUACCUAACACACACUCAAAACUGGUAUCCUCCGACCAAACCAUGAACAACAGAACCACCACGAAGCUGCUGCCGCUGUCAAAACCGCCGUUCACUCUGGCCGACAUCAAGAGAGCCGUACCGCCACACUGUUUCAAAAGAUCCCUCGUCAAAUCAUUCGCCUACCUAGCCUACGACAUCACCGUCAUCACAAUCCUCUACCACAUCGCCAACACAUACUUCUACCUCCUCCCCAAACCUCUCUCCUACGUGGCGUGGCCCGUCUAUUGGGCCGCCCAAAGCUGCUUCUUCGUCGCUGUAUGGAUGGUGGGUCACGAUUGCGGCCACCAUUCAUUCAGCGACUACCAGUGGGUGGACGACACUGUCGGAUUCGUCGUCCAUUCGUUCCUCCUCACCCCUUACUUCUCGUGGAAGCACACCCACCGCAGCCACCACGCCAACAACGGAUCUCUAGAACGCGACGAAUCUUUCGUCCCCAAGACCAAAGACGAAGUCAGGUGGCACUUCAAGUACCUCGACCACCUACCGGGGCGAAUCUUCUACGUGUUCUUUACUCUAACCCUAGGAUGGCCUCUCUACUUGAUGUUCAACAUCACCGGAAGGCCGUACAAGGAUGGAUUCGCUAGCCAUUUCUACCCCAUGUCGCCUAUGUACGAGGACCAUGAGCGGUUUGGAGUAGUCCUGUCCGACAUGGGAAUGCUCGCUAUGUGGUUUACGCUCUACAAGCUCUCGGUGGCGUUCGGAGUCACUUGGGUUCUCUGUGUGUACUUUAUUCCACUAGUUUUACAAAACGCGUUGUUUGUUACGAUCACUUACUUGCACCACACGCAUCCAAACGUGCCUCGUUAUGACUCUUCGGGGUGGGGUUGGAUGAGGGGGUCGUUGGUGACCGUGGAUAGAGACUAUGGGUUUUUGAAUAAAGUGUUCCAUAACGUGACGGAUACUCACGUGGCGCACCAUCUGUUCACGCAUAUGCCUCAUUACCACCAAUUGGAAGCUACCAAGGCGUUCAUCCCGAUUUUGGGAGAGUACUACCAGGCUGAUCCAACACCGUUCUAUAAAGCAUUGUGGAGAGAAAUGAAGCACUGUGUUUAUGUCGAACAAGACAAAGAUGCAAAUGUCGAUCAGAACAAAAGAGGUGUGUAUUGGUACAAAACAAAGUCGUGAUGUGACUAAGAUUUGUACAAACUUGUGAUAUGUCGUGUUCUAGUCUCAAGAUUUAUGUGUUUGUCUUUUUAUAUUUAAAUUUCAUUGUUUCUUAAUCUGUUACGCAAUUGUUAUGUUAUGUCGUGAAAUAGUUAUAAAUAACAGUAUAAUGUACGGGAUUCAUCCUAGGUUGGGGAUGCAUGCCACGUAUAUAGAGGAAUCGGGAACAAUUUACGAAUACUUAAUGUUUGAAUGAAGAAAUUAAAACAAAGUAUUUCCUAAGAUAAGUGAAUCCAUUAUAUUGAUUGUUUUUUUUUUAAUAAUACUUAUUUUGUAUCAAAAUUUAUCAGAGAUAGGAAAGUCGAAUUAUUAUUUUAUUUAUUUAGAACCGAUAAAAUAUUAUUAAUUUGAUAAUCUCAAUUGGGCAUUACAUUAUCCAAUNNNNNNNNNNNNNNNNNNNNNNNNNNNNNNNNNNNNNNNNNNNNNNNNNNNNNNNNNNNNNNNNNNNNNNNNNNNNNNNNNNNNNNNNNNNNNNNNNNNNNNNNNNNNNNNNNNNNNUGGUGUGAGUAUGUUAUUAAUUAUUAUCAAUAUAAUUGGCAACUCCUAAAGUAAAUUCCUGACGUCGUCACUAAUUAUAAAGUGGGUAGUUAUGAUUAAACUCUAAAAGUAUGAUAUAUAAAAUGUGCCUGAAGAUAGAGCAAUAUUUUUAAAAGAAAUUUUAAAAAUUAUAUGAAUGGCGAUUUAUAUUAUAAAGUACGUCAAAUAUAGUGCUCAAACAUUCGUAAUUGUUUAAUUCAAAAUACAAGUCCAUACGUUGUAUACUUGAAGUUUUUUCAAAUUGACGGUUUUCAAACUUUUAAGUAGUCAAUUACGGUUAAUCGAAAAUAUCUUUUCAAACAUUUACUUUUAGAUACCAAUAAAAUAUGACUGAUUCAUUAAAAGCAUAUUUAGACGGUAAAACUAAUCUUUACUCCGACCGUUUAUUCGACAUAAAUUUCGACUCAACGCUAAUUCUAAUUAAAAAUAAUCAAGUGGACAUGUGAAAUAUGUGGUCCCGAAUUGAUGAGCUUAGGAUCUGGCCUAUGAUGCUUAAGAUCUGAAGCGUUUGUAAUCCUCCAUCAUCAAAGGUUAGGAUUUUUCUAUAAUCGGUUACCGAACAAUCAAUUAUUCAUAACGACCCCGCCCAAAUCUCAAUUAAGAAGCUAAACAAGUAAAAGUAGCUAGCUUCUCUCAUUCAAGAUAAGUCGUUAUUUAAUCAUUACACCUAUGGACUUCCGAUAUACUUCUCUGUUUCCCAGUACUCGUAGAUAUACGCCUUACCCGAUAGGUUAAAACUUACCUGGAAUCACUACAUUGAACAAACCGGUUCAUCAAAGAGAACUGAACUGCCGAUGAAGACUAAGUGUAUUUUAACAUUUUAAUAUUUCUGUCCUAUGAUCCAAACCGUUAAAUAAAAUAAUAUAAUUACAUCUAACGGCUAAAAUGAUGUUGUCCGAGCUAUUAAAGUAUCUAUCUCCUCCUUGAUGCCACAUCAAAAACAACCCAUUCCCCUUUCUUGUUCAGAGUAAUCGUUGACUUUUCCACAAAACCACUGAACAACACUAAAAAAUGGUGUCCUCCGGCAAAACCAUGAGCAACAAAACCACCACGAAGCGGCCGCCGGUGUCAAAACCGCCGUUCACUCUGGCCGACAUCAAGAGAGCCGUACCGCCACACUGCUUCAAAAGAUCCCUCGUCAAAUCAUUCGCCUACCUAGCCUACGACCUCACCGUCAUCACAAUCCUCUACCACAUCGCCAACACAUACUUCCACCUCCUCCCCAAACCUCUCUCCUACGUGGCGUGGCCCGUCUAUUGGGCUGCCCAAUGCUGCUUUUUCGUCGCUUUAUGGAUGGUGGGCCACGACUGCGGCCAUCAUUCAUUCAGCGACUAUCAGUGGGUGGACGACACCGUUGGAUUCGUCGUCCACUCGUUCCUCCUCGCCCCUUACUUCUCGUGGAAGCAUAGCCACCGCCGCCACCACGCCAACUCCGGAUCUCUAGAACGCGACGAGUCGUUCGUCCCGAAAACCAAAGACAAUAUCACCUGGCACUUCAAGUACCUCGACCACCUACCGGGGCGGAUCUUCUACGUGGUCUUCACUCUAACCCUCGGAUGGCCGCUCUACUUGAUGUUCAACAUCACCGGAAGGCCGUACAAGGACGGAUUCGCCAGUCAUUUCUACCCCAUGUCGCCUAUCUACGAGGAUCACGAGCGGUUCGGAAUAUUCCUCUCUGAUGUUGGCAUGCUCGCUAUGUGGUUCACACUCUACAAGCUUUCCGUGGCGUAUGGAGUCGGUUGGGUUCUUUGUGUGUAUUUUAUUCCGCUGGUUUUACAAAAUGCGUUGUUUGUCACGAUCACUUACUUACACCACACGCAUCUGAACUUGCCUCACUAUGACUCUUCGGGGUGGGACUGGAUGAGGGGGUCGUUGACGACUGUGGAUAGGGACUAUGGGUUUUUGAACAAGGUGUUGCAUAACGUGACAGAUACUCACGUGGCGCACCAUCUGUUCACCCAUAUGCCUCAUUACCACCAAUCGGAAGCGACCAAGGCGUUCAUUCCGGUUUUGGGGGAAUACUACCAGGUUGAUCCGACUCCGUUCUACAAGGCGUUGUGGAGGGAGAUGAAGCACUGUGUUUAUAUCGAGCAAGAUGAGGAUGCGGAUUCUGAUAAUAACAAAAAAGGCGUGUACUGGUACAAAACCAAGCUCUAAUCGAUAACGUGGUUACGUUUGUACGAACUUGUGAUGUAUCGUGUUCUAGUCUCGAGAUGUGUUUUUCUUAUGUUUUAUUCUUAUUGUUUAUCACUCGUUACGCAAAUGUUGUGUUGAAUAGUUAUAAAUAACGGUAAUAAUAUAUGAGGAUAUAAGUUUGUGAAAUGAUAUAUAAAAGGUGUCUGGAAAAUGGAAAUAGAGCAUUAUGAAGAAAUUUAAAAAAUUAUACGAAUGGAAAUUUAUAUUAUAAAGUAUGUGAAAUAUAAUAUUCGAGCAUUCAUAAUUGUUCAAUUCGUAAUACAAUUUUGAAGCUUUUAAAUAGCCGAUUACACCCAAUCGGAAAUAUGUUUUAGAGAUUCUUUUUACAUAGUUCAAGGCCAAAUUUGAGGGUGAAAAUUUCUUGAGAUUUCAUACGUCCAAAAUUCAAAUUUCGUCCUUCAUUCAAUUAUUUUUAUACGAAUAAAACUUAAUAUAAUUAUUAAUUAAUUAAGGGUAAGAUAGUAUUGAACUUCCUCACAUCUUUUUGUUUUACAAAUUAAUGAUGAUUUUUUAAUCAAUGCUCAAGCGACUUGUUGAGCCAAUUUGAAAAUGCAGGCCCCUAUAGACAAGGUUAUAGGAAAGAUAGAUUGUCUCGCUAAAGUGUGAAUAACCAAAUCUCAUUUUCUCUUGAUAAUCUGAAAAGAAAACUCAUUUGCAAAUUGCAACAAACUACGACACAUAAACACAAUCCUUCCAAAUUCCGUAUCGUCCUCUGUCUCGUUGAGUAUGGCCAGUGAUACACUCUGCGAGUCUCCUUCAAAGAUUAUUUGCGUGUAUCCAAGAUGUAUCACCCAGCGAAUAGCUUCUAAGAUAGCAAUAGCUCGCCUACCUCCACGUUCGUGAUACAGUUAUUUGGCAGGUACACAUCAAGGGCAAUGUUGAGAUCGUUCUCUCCCGAUUCACUCAUUGAAGCAUGCGCUGUAGAGGUAACGAUGCAUCAUUCGGAGGUUCUGGCCUCCCUAACUACUUGUCUCCGGCUCCAUGUGCAAGUUGUUCAACAAUUUGCUAAAGAUAUAGCUCACAUGCAUAAGAUACCAAUUGAAUAUCAAACAAAAACAAAAUCUUUUCGAAACCAACCACUCCAAAUAGACAAAUUAUUUAGUCAAUUUUGUAGAAGAAAGAACAUGUGACUGGGUUUUCCAUUUUCGUUUACUGUUAUUGGUGGGUUGAUUCAGUCUUGUAAUUAUUUUUUAAAUCGUACUUGAAGAUCCUUUCUUCAACGCAAUCUCAAUGAUUUUAAGCUUUAAUUACGAAAGCGUGCCCUUUCGGUCACCACAUUUGAAAUAAUGAGAACACCCUUUCAGUCAUAAAUCCCGAAACUUCCGAAACUUAUUCGCCUGGAUUUUAAACCGAGCUGCUACAUUUUCUAAAUUAAUAUUUAUUCAGAAGCAUGAUAACCUCACCCAGGUUAGGUGUAGCAACUAACGAAGGAUUUUAGUAUUUCGAAAAAUUGCAAGUGGGUAUUUGAGAGACCGUGGAUCUGAUGUGACGGCGGCUCAAAAUGCCAAAUCCAACGAUCCUGGAUGGAUCCGAUGUGACGGCGGCUCGAAAUGUUAAAUCCAACGAUCCUGAAUGGAUCUGAUGCGGCGGCAGCUAGAAAUGCCAAAUCCAUGUGACGUGAUCUCACGCCAGUAACUUGUUAUUACGUCUUACUAGAAUGAAAAUUUGACUUAGCCGCCCUUAAUUACCCAUUUAUUAUUCUAAAUUGGGUCAUUAUAUAUAUAUUGAUAAUUGAGAGAGUACGACAACAAAGACCAUUUAACGAUGAAUUAACGCAUCCUUAGUGCAAUCCGAAACAGAGAAUUACUUGAAAUCCAUUGGCGGCAAAGAAUCAAACUUUUGUUCACUGCCGGAUCACAUAUAUAUAUAUAUAUAUAUUGACGGCGGCGAAAACAAAGGGUUCCGACGAUCAAAGCAAGAGCAAACCGCUUAAUAUUUCCAUCGAUCAGCUCAAGAAAUUGCAAGAAGACAAGGGCUACGAGUUACAGAGGACUGUAGGAACUUAGUUCAUGCUCGGCUCUAAAGCCAUGACUUGUUAGUAACUCAAUAAUGCGGUAUAUGUUUUAGGUUAUCUAUUUUUUUAGUUUUGACUCUAAUGGAAAUGCAAGUCACACAUUAUUUAGAUUUAACUAUUUUAAUUUGUAAAGUGGAAACUUGUUAUCUAUUUUCUUAGUUUUGACUCGUCGAUAUUUUGUAUAUAUAUAAACUUCAAAAUCAUUUUAAAAUAGACUCAUCGGGGAUGUUAAUGAAUGAAGUUUGAGUUGAACUCGAGUUUGGCUCGUCCGGGUGGUAAACGAGUCAGGCUUAAAUAGGCUCGAACUCGAGACGAGCUAAAAUUUUCUAGCUCGAAUUCGAGCUCGAGCUCGCCUAAAUAGUAACGAACCAACCUUGAACACUGUGAAGUUCGGUUCGACUCGAUUCGUGAACAGCUCUAGUUGUUUUACCUUUGUAAAAUUAAUUAAUUGGUUAUUUGUGAACAGAAUUAUAUACAAAUUGAUUACGAACCUUUGGAUAAAUCCGACUCAAUACAUGUCAUGAGCAUUGCAUCACUCAUCGCCGGUCGUUUGGAUGAGUUAUUUCACAAAUGAAGUAUUUUGAAGCAAAAUGAUGCAUUAUUUAGAAAUGUGGUAUUUUUUAGGCGUUGAGGGGUAAGAAUUACCUUGUUUGGCUAAUCCAAAAACAAUAAAUUACGGGCUUUGAAUUGAGUUAUUUAAAAAUACCACAUCCAUAAAAUAACUUGAUUUGAGGUAUUUCAAAUACCAUAAUUACAAAAUACCAAAGCUUUUAUUUUGAAUAAAACAAAAUAUUUUUGUCCAAAUAACUCAAUAGCAUACCUAAAGUUCUUGGAAGACGGUCUAUAAUUGGUUUUAUACUAUAUUAAAAUUUGGUACAUACAAGUUGUACUUUAUAUUUCCAUUGUCAAUCAAUUGUAAAUUUCGAGAGUUUGUACUUUUCUGAUCAUAGUACGAUUUCGUAUAGUUUAUUUACACAUUACACAAAAAAAAUCAAAAUAUUGUAAUAUCUAAAAUUAAAAAAAUGUAAUGUCCAUAAUGAACGAGGAGUUUUAUAAUAAUAUUGUCUUUGUGGGAGACCGAAACUUUCCAUUCAUGAUUAAGAAGCUUGAGAUCGCUCAUCAAAAAGUCAAAGACCACAAGUUGAAUCUAAUUGAAGAUGUACAUUUCGAUAACUAACCUUUAUUCGAUGGUAAAGACGGACCAUGAAUGGCACCACGAAGCUCCGCCCUAGUGAAUACACAUGGUUAGGAUUACACUACAAUUCAGUAACUAAAUGGGUCCAUAAUUUUAACCAAACUCAAACAAAAACAAUUCGUGCAAAAUAGAGCAUAAAAUGAGACAAUAUUAAACUAUAUAUGUUGGAGUGUCCGAUAUCAGCCUCGUUUGAUGCCUCGACGAAGUCCAGAAACAUGUAUAAAAAGCACUCGACCUAUUCAUAUUAGACAACAUCAAAAUCCGACCACUCAAUCGAAAACAAAGAGACACAUCUAAACACACACCCCCCCCCCCCCCCCCCCCCCUCACACCUUUGUGUGUGGAAUAUCUCAAACACAAAAACAACAUCCCAUACAAACACACAAACCCCGCCGCCUACAAGCGGUUCCCGUCCACAAAGCCGCCGUUCACACUCGCCGACCUCAAGAAGGCCAUUCCGCCGCACUGUUUCAAAAGAUCCAUCCCACGCUCCUUCUCCUACCUGGUCUUCGACCUCAUCGUCGCCGCCGUCUUCUACCACAUCGCUGCCACUUACUUCCCCCUCAUCCCCAAACCUCUCUCCUACGUGGCGUGGCCGGCCUACUGGUUCGUGCAGGGCAGCGUCCUGACCGGUGUGUGGGUCAUAGGCCACGAGUGCGGCCACCACGCAUUUAGCGAGCACCAGUGGCUCGACGACCUGGUCGGGGUUGUCCUCCACCCUGCUCUCCUCCCCCCUCACUAAAUAGGGAGAUGAAUAAUAUUUUAGAUACUUUAAACAAAUAAAUUAUUUUCAAAAUAAAUAAUAUUGAUUUUUAUUUAUAAAAGAGCACUCUUUUUAUAAAAUCUUUUAUUUUUCCGAUGUGAUAUUUGAGACCUCAUUAGGUUUUACAAACUAUUCACAUCUUUUCCAACAGGUCUACAUCCCGAGAAAAAAAUCUCAAUUACGGUGGUGGUAUUCGAGCUACCUGAACAACCCGCCCGGCCGGCUUCUGGCACUGGCUUACACCAUCCUCCUCGGCUGGCCUUCCUACUUGACUUUCAACCUAUCUGGAAGGGAAUACAACGGCUUCGCCUGCCAUUUCUACCCGAUGUCCCCUAUUUACAGCGACCGCGAGCGAGCCGAGGUAUUCGCCUCAGAUGUUGGCUUGCUCGCUGUCUGCUUCGCGUUGUACAAACUUAUUAUGGUCAAGGGAAUGGCGUGGGUUUUUUGCGUCUAUGGGGCUCCGGUCAUGGUGGUGAAUGGAUUCUUCAUUACCAUCACUUACUUGCAUCACACUCAUCUCGCGGUCCCGCGAUACGAUUCGUCUGAAUGGGAUUGGUUGAGGGGAGCCCUGGCAACCAUGGACAGGGACUUUGGCCUUUUGAACAAGGUGUUCCAUAAUGUUACAGAUACUCACGUGACGCACCAUCUGAUUUCGACGAUCCCUCAUUAUCAUGCCAUGGAAGCCAACAACGCAAUUAGGCCCGUGUUGGGGGACUACUACCAUAUCGACAGGACGCCGGUGGUUAAGGCGUUGUGGAGGGAGGCUAAGGAGUGUGUUUACAUCGAGGCCGAUGAUGGUGAAAAGAACAAAGGCGUGUUCUGGUUCAAUACCAAGCUCUAAAUUAAACGAUCUUGUGAUCGAUCGUCUCUGCUUCUUUUCCUUCUUCGAUUGUCGUCGUGGUUAUGUUUGUAACGUUUUUGUGAUGUGUCGUUUCCGUCUCGAGUCUUAUUGUUUCUUAGUCGUUACAUAACCGCGAAGGGAUGUAUGUUCUGUUAUGUCGUUCAAUAGUUGAUCUAAUGUACCGCAACCCAGAUUUGUGAAACGGUAAUAAUGUGGUCAAGCAUGCUCAAUGGUUAUUUCCACAACCUUUUCAUUAUAUACUUAAAUUCCAUGUGUAUAUACACUAACGGUCUAAAUAUGUUAUUUUCCCGCAGAUUAUACUUAUUUUUGUGUGUCGAAAUGUAUUCAAAUUUAGAGUUUUAAGUACAUGUUUGGUUCUUUUGCCCACGGGGCUGUGUUAUGGUGUUUGGUAUAUUUUUGGUACAUUUCAGGUGUCAUAUGACGUUUAGAGAUGAAUCAAAACAUGACGGGGAGGCCGGAACAACUCAAAAUGUUCGAUUUCAGAAGAAAACGUCACUAUUUAGUAUUUUGAGCAUAACUCAUCGCUCGGAAGUCCAAUUGAUAUAAGGUCGGCGGCGUUGGAAAGAUAAUUCAAUUGUCUACAACUUUUAUGUUGACGCUAUGGCAAAAUUCCGUAUAAUGAAAGGAUACGGCAUGUUCCUCCUCUGGAAUUGCCCAAGAAAGUUACAGGGGCGGAACACGGGCGGGAACACGGCGUGUUCCACCCCAUAUGGGUUUUCAAACCCUUUUACUUCUCCAACUUGGCCCAGAAGUUUAUAAGUACUCCCCGAGAUCCCUUCUGGAUGAGAGAUACUUCAUUAUACGCAUAUUUUCGAGUUCUUAGAGAGAGUUAGGGUUUCAGAGAAACGAUUGAAGCGAGAGGAUCAACCACAAUUGGCGAAUGGCGAAUUAUCAAGUUGAAGAUUGGGAUUUACACGAAGAACAUGUCGUUUUCUCCGGUUUUUCUUCUUUUCUCUUGUGAUUAUUUUCCCGAAUCAUGAGUAGCUAAACCUUUCGUGUUGUUCAGAUGAGAUAAAGCUUUAGUCAAGCUUUUGUAUGGAUGAUGGGGUUUUAACCCCUUGAUUUGUUAUCGAGGUUAUUCAGACUUAUGAUGCGUUCUUCCUAAAACCUAAAUUCUGAUUCAAUUUUGUCUGGUCAUCUUGAUUGAAUCAUCGACAUUGAUUUGUGGGUCCGAGAGGAACAUAGAUUGAUAGGUCACUUAGGAAGAACCCUAGAUUUUUAAUGCGUUUUGUUUAGGUGUAGAUUAGCUCGAGAGAUGAGUCUACAGUUAAGCGAAAUAGAUCCUUAGAGGCGCGAGAGUGAUCUAAGACUACCAUAGGAAAUUGCCAAGUCAUUAUAACAUGAAUAAUCGAGUUAACUUGUCGUUCAUCCAUGCAUUUCUAGCUUUAGUGGAUUCGAAUCCGAACAACCUUCAUUCCAUACUUGAAACUCAAUCUCUUGAAUUUGUUUUCCUUUUAUUUGCCUUCCUAGAUAUUAAUUGGUUACUUAAAACAUCCUCCAAAACAAUCUUAGACUGUUGCUAGUUGGUAAUUCAAUUUGAGUAAUAAAAGUAGAAAGACCUUAGAAAAAUUAACGAUCCCAUUAGAACAAUCUACUGAGUAUUUGAUAGCCACGCAUCACUUAGACUAUAUGGGUUUGAUUUCCUAAAUUAAGUUUUUGAAUCAAAGUCAUAUAAUUUCUUCAGUCUCUACAAACCAAUAGUCGUAGGUUCACAUGACACAACAUGUGACAUGUCCAGUUGCCCUAACGUACAAAUAAUUUAUGUUUGCAUCAUCAAGUUGAAUCGUUCAUAUUGAAAAAUAAAUAAAUAAAUACUACUUAAUUUAUGAUUUAUAUAUCGUCAACUGAACCUGAUGUUCAUAAACCAAUAUUUAUAAGUUCACAUGAGUGAUGAUCACCUAACAUGUUUACCCACGUACACAUAUAGUUUGAAAGAUAUUUUUAAUUCGUGACGCGAAAAUAAUUACCUACGAAUACAAGCCAUUAAUGCUGAUCGAGCAACUUGUAAAAUUUAUUCCAAACAAGAGGGUCCAAUGCUUAAGUUGCUACAACUACAAGCCAUCAAUGCCGAUCGAGCAACUUGUAAAAUUUAUUCCAAACAAGAGGUUCCAAUGCUUACGUUGCUAGCUGAUUCAGCAGUGUUGAAGGAUUCAAAUGUGCUGAUUCGGAAAGAAUCAAACUUAGUUGUGAACACCAUAAUUAUACGGGACUGAAACGAAACGUUUUGCUUACUUAUUCAAAGUCUUACCGGUCCAUUCUUACCGAUACAAACAUGAGAGCACCUCCUGAUCAAGUCAGGCAGAUGAUAAGAGAAUGGUAUAAAAUCAAUAAUUAACUCUUCAUCCAACAACUAAAGCUAUUUGGAUGCAACGGUUUUUGACAUGAUAUCAUACCCUGGUUUGACCAAAUAGUCGUAAGUUAGAAUCUCCAUGGGGCCAUGACCCGCAAUAUUAAUAGUUGAUUUAAGCACGAGGUAUGGCGGACCUAUACAAAUUUCAAGCCCGUGAGUUGACUUUGGUUUGAAGAAGUUUAUAAGAUCCAUAAUCAACCCCAAUAUUGUCCCGGCCACCUGAAGAAACACCUCCAUCUUUCCGGGAUCUUACCUAAACCAUCAAUGCUACGAAUGCAGCGAUUUUCGCUGGAUUUAUUUGCGAAAAAACGAGAGAAGAUAUACAUUCCAAUUAAUGCUAUGGCGAACAGUACUGACGUCGAUCCAGCUAUAUCAACGUUGAAGGAUUCAGAAAGCAGCCUCCAUGUUUGAAUCUGAGAUCCAGACUAGUUCUGCAAUUAAACUAAUUAAUAAUCCUUCCAGAUUAAUAAUAACGUUGUCUGCCGACUCAUUAAAAAAAUAGAUUAUCUAACCAAUCAUAUUGUACGGAUGGAUCUGGUUGGCGGCUCAAAUGUCGAAUCUAUUCUCGUCUCAUGUGGGUCUCUUGGGAUCUCUGCACGUCCAUCUCAUGAUUAACUAAGGUUAAUUAGGUUCCGUUUGGUUUGAGUGGUGGUUAUUUUAUUUUUAUUUAUUUUUGUCUUGUUUUGCCGACAAAAUGAUUCAGAGACAAAGCAAGAUCAGAGAACGUGGUCUAUUACUACUUGUAGUAAGCAUUUUGUAUGGAUAGAGUAUAAAUAUUUUUAUAUUAAAGUAUCGAAAUUUGAAUUGGAUUUUUAAGUUUUUAAUAAAUUAUAUUUUUAGUAAGAUGAGUAUGAGAUAAUCAAAUGUCUUAGCUAUUUAAUUUUAUUUUAGCCUAUUAUUCGAUUUACAAAGUCUUAAGUGUUUGAAAAUUUAUGUAGUUUGUUAAUUUUUUUUAUUAUAAUUAUAGCCAAAAUCAUCUGAAAUCUGACGAGUGUGGAUACGAUAUGAUAUAUACCGCCAAACGAAUUAUUUAGGAUGUGUAUUAUGUAAACCUGAAAUUAUAAUAAAAAGGAAACGAAUAUCAACUAUUUAAACCCGAACUGAACCGUUGCCAAACCAAUACUUAUUGGUGGUUGGGAAUAAAACAUCGUUUUUUGUUGCUUAUACUUGGGAAGCAUCAAAUAUGUAGAUUUCCUCGCAAUCAGAUUUAAUUGUUUUUUCUUUCAUUUCCCGUAAGCUAAAUGACCUGGCGGACUGGAUAGCUAAAUCCAACCGUUUAGGCACGUUAGCAAACAAGUGGAUCCAAACUCUAUUGUAACCCUCAUUUUGUAUGGCUUUGCCAAUUUUCAUGAUGAAUAUAAUACCAAAUUCGUUUUAAAAGAAUUAGUAGGAAAAUGAAUCUAUAGCAUAUGAUCAGUUUUUUAUAUAUAUAUAUAUAUAUCAAUCUCUUCGACCAUGAUUGACUCUAGACACGACAAAUAGAAAACUCUACAUAUAUACCCUACUAAUUCUACCCGACUUUAGAAAAUUAAAGCAAAAUUCAAUGCAACCCACAAUACUAAAAAUCGAGUUCAAAAUAAGGAAAAAACAAACAGGAGGUAGCUAAUCCUUCGAAUGGGACAAAACAUUGAUAAAUUCGCCACAAGCUUAUUCAUUAUUAGUGUUUAUAAUUUCAUUUAAUUUUAAUUGGAGACUUUUGGUGGUUGUAAACAUGACUUAUUGGUUGCUUCGUAUAGAUUCCAAGUAGAUGGGUGAAUAAUUAAUUAAUUAUUAUUUCACAUCUCAACAAACACAAAUACAGCGAUGUCAUAACUGCAGUACACUCGAUUAGUGCACAAAAUGGACUUAUAUAUCCGACGACAUAAUCAGGAUAAAAUUUUGCCAAUAUUACGUCACCCGAACCGAAACUUUUGAUAUGAGGACAUCCAAAAAUAAAAAGUAGUAAAAUAUAAAUAUCUAUUCAAAAAAUGAAGAAUAUCGACAAUACCCCGUAAAAAUUGGGAGUGUUACAAAAUGUGCGGCUACAAUAACAAAAAUGCAUAGUGCACUAUUUCUGAAGACGAAUCAUAGGUAGGAGUUGUACAUGUCCAUAACGAAGACUUCUUACAGGCAAGAUGUAAUGCCCUCGAGCACGGCUGCAGAAAUUUUUUGGCUUAAUAAUUCCUGUUUUCAGGCCAUAUGUUUCCUGUUAUCAUAUCGUCCAUGAAGCAACUGAUCCAGAAUGUUUUAAUGUAUUAUACCAAAUCGUAUAAAAAUUAAAAUAUACUAGAUCAUAAAAAAAUUACUAAUUAAUUUAUAAAUAUAAUGAAAAUUAUAUAAUAUCAAAGUUCAAAAUUCUAAAAUAUAUUGGGCCGAAACUAAAAGGCUCAUCUGUAUCCGUCACUAUCAUGGCCUUGGAAUGGUGUGACUUCACUUGAAUGCCUCCUUGAAAAGUACCGCAUUAGAAAAACCAGUAUGUUUUUUUUUUUUACUUUUUUACCUUUCGUAAAAACAAAGUGAUAAUCAUCUAAUGAUUAAACCUGUUAGGGUAGUUUAAAACAUUUUAACCUAUGCUAUGUAUUUUGUACUUUGGAUUUAAUUCUUGGGUAUGCAUAUAUGUUGUUUAGAAGCUUGAUGAUUAUCGUAUUCACUUGACUCGCAAUAAAUAAAUUUGUUUUCCUACGCAGCAUCUCGCGGGAUAAUUUCUAAUAUUUAUUAAAGAUCAAACACGGGGCGAGGGAUAUUUUUUUUCAUAUUCAAAGACAUAACAGAACAUACAUCGAAACACAAAAAGCAUGUAACAACUUCGCGCACCAUUGUUACAACGUCACAAAUUACAGCUUGGUUUUGAACCAAAACACCCCUCCUUUCUUCUCCCGAUCAGAUCCCUCAUCAUCCGCCUCAACAUAAACACAAUCCUUAGUCUCUCUCCACAACGCCUUCAAAAACGGCGUAGUAUCAACUUGGUAGUACUCCCCAAGAACCGGCUUUAUCGCAUUUGUAGCCUCCAUCGCAUGAUAAUGAGGAAUCAUCGAGAACAGAUGGUGCGCCACGUGGGUAUCCGUAAUAUUAUGCAUCACCUUAUUCAAAAUUCCGUAAUCCCUAUCCACAGUCGCGAGUGCACCCCUCAUCCAGUCCCACUCCGACGAGUCGUAGUGGGGCAAGUUGAGAUGCGUGUGGUGCAAGUAAGUGAUGGUAAUCAACAUCGCAUUCUGGAGAAUGAGAGGCACCCCGUACACGCAAACAACCCAACCGAACCCGUUGACCAUCGCGAGUUUAUAAAGACCGAACCACGUGGCGAGCAUCCCGGCGACGGAGAGGACUAUCCCGAAUCUCUCGCGGUCGUUGUAGAUAGGGGAGAAAGGAUACAAAUGGCUGGCGAAUCCGUCGUCGUAUUUCCUGCCGGAGAUGUUGACCAGCAAGUAGAGCGGCCAUCCGAGGGUGAGAGUGAAGAAUAUAUAGAACACGUGUCCGGGAGGGUUGUCGAGGUAUUUAAAAUGCCAGUUGACUUCGUCCUUCUUUUUCGGGAUGUAAUUCUCGUCGCGCUCGAUGGAGGCGGCGUUGGCGUGGUGACGGCGGUGGCUGUGCUUCCAGGAGAAGUAAGGAGCUAAGAGGAGGGAGUGGAGGACGAACCCAACGGCGUCGUCUAGCCACUGGUAGUCGCUGAAGGCGUGUUGGCCGCACUCGUGGGCGAUGACCCACACGGCGAUGAAGUGGGACCCCUGAGCGGCCCAAGCGAUGAAGUGUGACCCCUGGGCGGCCCAGUAGAGCGGCCACGCCACGUAGGAGAGAGGGUUGGGGAGGAGGUGGAAGUAUGACGUGGCGAUGUGGUAGAGGAUUGUGAUGACGGUGAGAUCGUAGGCUAGGUAGGUGAAGGAUUUGAGGAGGGAUCUUUGGAAGCAGUGCGGUGGUAUUGCUUUCUUGACGUCGGAGAGGGUGAACGGCGGUUUUGAGGUCGGUGUUCGCUUUAUGGUGGUAUUGGAUACCAUUUUUGGUUUUGGGUUUGUCGGUGGAGAGGAGAGGAAAGUGGUUUGUUACAGUGGGGGAAGGGAGGUGGGGGGUGUGUAUUUAAGAUGGUAAAAGUGUUGCACACAAAAUCUAAAAAUGAAAAUAAACAAGAUGCAUGAGCUCAAUAUAAACAAAGUCAAUCAUGGACAAAAUCUCCAAAACAUAGCUGUAUUUCAAUAAUUUGAGUUAUUUUUUAGAAGUCAUAUUUAGAUAUCGAGUUAUAUCCGAACAUAGAAACUGUUAAAAAAUAUGGGAUUUAAUCGUAAUUAUAUCAUAAUUUUAUUAGUGGUUCACGGUCCAAUUCGGUUGGCUCGUCCAUAUAUACCAGUGCGGUUUUGAAACAUUGCGAGCUCAAAGGUGACUUGAAACGUUGAACUUUUAUUAGUAAAAAACUCUUGUACAUGUUACGAAUUAUUGCGUCAUUUUUUCGUCGAAAAUAGACCAGGUGAAGAUGACAUUAGAAAAUAAAAAGGAAAUAAAUAUAACAUAGAAGUGUAUAUAUAAAGUGUGGCUAGAUUCGAACCCAGUAUAUACAGUUCUCAGUAUAUCCUAACCAAUAUAUGGAGUUUUAAAUAAAAAGGUCAUAAUUAAUCACAUUAUUCAUUAAAGAUUAAGAUACUGAAAUAUACAAACAUAUAGCUAAUUUUAGACGUAUGUCACUAAUGAACGACAGGGAAGCGGCUCCGUAUCAAAUGCCAAGUAUCAACCAACCACAAUAAGGUGGUCAAGACUGAAUCUGGGCCGUUUAUAUUUUCUUCAACGGUCAAAAGUUGCUCCUUUCCGAUCAGACAAUGACUCUUGUGGAAAAAAUAUUGAUACUAGGAGAAAAUUGGGGAACGUUAUAGAAUGGCAAUUGGCAACCGUGGAUCUGUCCUGGGGGGGCGGCUCACAAUUUGCUCUCAUGUGAUUUCACGUUCUUCAAGUUUAGUUUUUGUUUAUCGAAGAUAGACCGAACGGACUUAUCAAUACAAAAAAACGAAAGGAAUUAUAUAUUAUAAGUGCUUUAUAUGUGGUGGACGUCCUUUUAAGUCUUCGAAUAUGAAAGAUUGCAGCACCCGACUGAUAAAUUAUAACAAAUUGUAAAAACUCUCAAUCCCGACUUCAUAAUUAAAAGACAAGGUGAGCAAUUAACGAUAUCUUAUAUCGUAAUUAGUUAUGACCUACCUAUUCUAAGUUGUCUCAUAUUCAUCUCAUUCAAAGUAUAGACCAGUUCGUAAUACUUCUAAAUCCAGACGGCCCCGUAUGCAGAAAAAGCCGAAGAAGGCCGACGAAGUGAAAUGAAGGCCCGUUUCUGGCCCAACGAAUACGGACCGAGCCGGCCGUUUAGAUUGGGCCUGAACUAGUUUAUAUUUCCCGUCUGCCAUUUGCCAUGCCAUGUGAGUUUCUCCAUUAUUUUUAACAUUAUUAUUCCCCUCGUGUUCAACAAUUCCAAUUAUAUAAUGAAAUUUUAAUAGACAAGUUUUAAAAUGAAAUAGUUUUGAAAAAAAAUCGAAACUAAAAUAAUAUAAAACGGUCAUUAUCCGACUUUGUACACUAUCAUGCUGGCUAGAUAGUGCGGCGCUAUGCGACUUUGUUAAUUUCCAUUUCAUUUGGAAAUUAGUUGUUAAUUACGUAUAAUUUUUUUUCAUUUGGCCAACAAUCGAUAAACAAUAUACAUGCGUGAAACUCUUAGCUUCUUAAUCUUCUAUGUGACUUUCAUAAAUAUAUAUUAAUCAUAAAUUGUUGGUAAAAAAAAAGGAAACUGUGCACCGGUUAAUAUUGCUAAAAAUUGGCCACUUGCAAAAAAAGAAAGAAAAAACACAAUUUAUUUGCUGACUUUGGCUUUCUGUUUCUGGUCAAAUAAAUACAGUCCUUUCCUUCUCCUCCCCUGUUUCUCCUAUGUUCUCAUCCUCUGCAACUAAAAUGCCGGCGCCGCCUUCAUCAUCCAACACGACCAUGAAGCGAUCGCCUCACUCAAAGCCGCCGUUCACCGUCUCCGACGUCAAGAAAGCCAUUCCACCACACUGCUUCCAAAGGUCCCUCCUCCGAUCAUUCUCCUACCUAACCUACGACCUCACCAUCAUCACAAUCCUCUACCAAGUCGCCACCACUUACUUCCACCUCCUCCCGACACCUCUCUCAUCCUACGUGGCAUGGCCGGCCUACUGGGCCGGCCAAGGCUGCUUCUUCGUCGCUGUAUGGAUGGUGGCCCACGAGUGUGGCCAUCACGCCUUCAGCGACCAGCACUGGCUGGAAGACUCGGUCGGAUUCAUCCUCCACUCAGCCCUCCUUUCACCUUACUUCUCAUGGA